CCUACGGGAGGCAGCAGUGAGGAAUAUUGGUCAAUGGGCGCGAGCCUGAACCAGCCAAGUCGCGUGAGGGAAGACGGUCCUAUGGAUUGUAAACCUCUUUUGUCGGGGAGCAAACGACGCCACGCGUUGCGUUCCGAGAGUACCCGACGAAAACGCAUCGGCUACCUCCGUGCCAGCAGCCGCAGUACUACUGAGGAUGCGAGCGUUAUCCGGAUUUAUUGGGUUUAAAGGGUGCGCAGGCGGAAGAUCAAGUCAGCGGUAAAAUUGAGAGGCUCAACCUCUUCGAGCCGUUGAAACUGGUGUUCUUGAGUGAGUGAGAAGUAUGCGGAAUGCGUGGUGUAGCGGUGAAAUGCAUAGAUAUCACGCAGAACUCCGAUUGCGAAGGCAGCAUACCGGCGCUCAACUGACGCUCAUGCACGAAAGUGUGGGUAUCGAACAGGAUUAGAUACCCGAGUAGUC
This 459-nucleotide ribosomal RNA is filed under the name uncultured bacterium. Its description in RNAcentral is "partial 16S ribosomal RNA". It matches the Rfam family "Bacterial small subunit ribosomal RNA", at positions 338 to 795 of the family's 1533-position model. The record is from RNAcentral.